GAGGGUAUAGCUCAGUGGUAGAGUGCAUGCUUAGCAUGCAUGAGGUUCUGGGUUCAAUCCCUGGUACCUCCA
This 72-nucleotide transfer RNA is filed under the name Camelus dromedarius (Arabian camel). It matches the Rfam family "tRNA". Rfam says of the family: Transfer RNA (tRNA) molecules are approximately 80 nucleotides in length. Lineage: Eukaryota; Metazoa; Chordata; Mammalia; Artiodactyla; Camelidae. The record is from Rfam by way of RNAcentral. RNAcentral also lists the same sequence under 1 other name.